GACGAACGCUGGCGGCGUGCCUAACACAUGCAAGUCGAACGAAGCUGCUAAAAGGAAGUCUUCGGACAGAAUUUUAGUAGACUUAGUGGCGGACGGGUGAGUAACGCGUGGAUAACCUGCCUUAUACAGGGGGAUAACGGAGAGAAAUUUCCGCUAAGACCGCAUAAGGCCACAGCACCGCAUGGUGCAGGGGUAAAAUAUUUAUAGGUAUAAGAUGGAUCCGCGUCCGAUUAGCUAGUUGGUGAGGUAAAGGCCCACCAAGGCGACGAUCGGUAGCCGGCCUGAGAGGGUGAACGGCCACAUUGGGACUGAGACACGGCCCAAACUCCUACGGGAGGCAGCAGUGGGGAAUAUUGGACAAUGGGGGAAACCCUGAUCCAGCGACGCCGCGUGAGUGAAGAAGUAUUUCGGUAUGUAAAGCUCUAUCAGCAGGGAAGAAAAUGACGGUACCUGACUAAGAAGCCCCGGCUAACUACGUGCCAGCAGCCGCGGUAAUACGUAGGGGGCAAGCGUUAUCCGGAUUUACUGGGUGUAAAGGGAGCGCAGACGGCGAAGCAAGUCUGAAGUGAAAUGCAUGGGCUCAACCCAUGAAUUGCUUUGGAAACUGUUUGGCUUGAGUGUCGGAGGGGUAAGCGGAAUUCCUAGUGUAGCGGUGAAAUGCGUAGAUAUUAGGAGGAACACCGGAGGCGAAGGCGGCUUACUGGACGACGACUGACGUUGAGGCUCGAAGGCGUGGGGAGCAAACAGG
RNAcentral lists this ribosomal RNA (748 nucleotides) under uncultured Lachnospiraceae bacterium. RNAcentral's name for it is "bacterial SSU rRNA". It matches the Rfam family "Bacterial small subunit ribosomal RNA", at positions 28 to 776 of the family's 1533-position model. Lineage: Bacteria; Bacillati; Bacillota; Clostridia; Lachnospirales; Lachnospiraceae. The record is from RNAcentral.